CGCCUUAUAAUACAGUUCAGUAGCUUCCAGCAAAUACUAGUUUUGUUAAAGGUCAUAAUGUUUUUUUUGCCAGUAUUGUCAGAGGUGUUGAUUCAAGCCUCUCGCCAUCUGUUGAUGACAGUCUGUUCUUCGUUGCCAGGGCUGCAUUCCUGUUUGACCGGGCUGUAACCAUAGCAACAUCAUCGCCACCAUCGCUGUCCUCACCGGAGCUGCUGGUGCUCCCGGCCCUCUGAGGUAGAGUCUUAGUAGAGUGAGGGACGGCCUUCACAGAGAGGGACUCCUGGCUGCUGCUGCUGGUGCUUCCGGCCCUCUGAGGUAGAGUCUUAGUAGACUGAGGGACGGCCUUCACAGAGAGAGACUCCUGGCUGCUGCUGCUCACAUCCUUCAGAGAUAUUUGGAUGGGGAUGGCCCUUCCUCCUCGCUGUCCUCCUCUUCCUCUCCUCCUCCUCCUCUCUCCUUUCUCUUCAUGCAGGUGACGGCUCUGCGGAGUCGCUGGCUGCGGAUCGCCUGCUUCUCCUGUUGCUCCAUGCGGAAGA
Long non-coding RNA from Sebastes umbrosus (honeycomb rockfish), 536 nucleotides. RefSeq lists it as uncharacterized. NCBI's taxonomy places the organism in Eukaryota, Metazoa, Chordata, Actinopteri, Perciformes, Sebastidae. The transcript is spliced from 4 exons. The record is from RefSeq and is a predicted model, not a curated record.